This 440-nucleotide ribosomal RNA is filed under the name uncultured bacterium. Its description in RNAcentral is "partial 16S ribosomal RNA". It matches the Rfam family "Bacterial small subunit ribosomal RNA", at positions 338 to 795 of the family's 1533-position model. The record is from RNAcentral.
CCUACGGGAGGCAGCAGUGGGGAAUAUUGCACAAUGGGGGAAACUCUGAUGCAGCAACGCCGCGUGAGUGAUGACGGCCUUCGGGUUGUAAAGCUCUGUCUUCAGGGACGAUAAUGACGGUACCCAAGGAGGAAGCCACGGCUAACUACGUGCCAGCAGCCGCGGUAAUACGUAGGGGGCGAGCGUUGUCCGGCAUUACUGGGGGUAAAGGGAGCGUAGGCGGACGUUUAAGUAUGAUGUGAAAUACUCCGGCUCAAAUUGAUUGCUGCAUUUCAAACUGGAAGUCUAGAGUGCAGUAGAGGAGAAUGGAAUUCCUAGUGUAGCGGUGAAAUGCGUAGAGAUUAGGAAGAACACCAGUGGCGAAGGCGAUUCUCUGGGCUGUAACUGACGCUGAGGCUCGAAAGCGUGGGGAGCAAACAGGAUUAGAUACCCGAGUAGUC